AUUCAGCUUCCGGGCUAAUUAGCAGUCGCGGUGUGCCGCUACGUGCGGGCUCUCAAGGAGCUCAGCCUCCCGGACGGAGCCGGCGGCUGCGGGGCGAGGACGGCGGCGGACCGGGGCAGCCCCGCGCCCUGGCCAGCUCUACUGAGAUGAAGAAAGAAAAAGAAUACCUGCUCAGCUCCAGAGACACGUAAAGGGACAGAGAUUGGGGGACAGAAGGAAGUGCAUUAAUUCCUUCCACGACCCCUGAAGAGCAGCGGUGGGUCUGAGCAUCCUAUCUCCAGGAAGCAGGCCAGCAGGCAAGCCAGCUGCCACCUCGUCCUGUGCAAAGCACAGGCACCGUCCCCAAAAGAUAUAGAAGACUUAGAUCACUACGAGAUGAAAGCAGAGCCCAUUAGUGGGAAAAAGUUGGAGGAUGAAGGAAUUGAAAAAGAAAAUUUGGCAAUAUUAGAGAAAUUAGGAAGACUGAAAGACAAGAGCAUUUAACUGCAAACUGUUGUCGUUGUCAACUGGGUUGUCUUCCUGAAGUAUGAAUCCGGUAUGUAUUGUGUGGAGGAGCAUUACGUACUGAACUUCU
RNAcentral lists this long non-coding RNA (574 nucleotides) under Homo sapiens (human). Its description in RNAcentral is "non-protein coding lnc-GOLGA8A-6:1". The record is from RNAcentral. Lineage: Eukaryota; Metazoa; Chordata; Mammalia; Primates; Hominidae.